UACGGGAGGCAGCAGUGGGGAAUAUUGCACAAUGGGCGAAAGCCUGAUGCAGCUAUGCCGCGUGUAUGAAGAAGGCCUUAGGGUUGUAAAGUACUUUCAUCGGGGAGGAAAAACAAAACUAAUAAUUUUAUUUCUUGACGUUACCCGAAAAAGAAGCACCGGCUAACUCCGUGCCAGCAGCCGCGGUAAUACGGAGGGUGCUAGCGUUAAUCAGAAUUACUGGGCGUAAAGAGCACGUAGGUGGUUUUUUUAAGUCAGAUGUGAAAUCCCUGGGCUUAACCUGGAACUGCAUUUUGAAACUGAAAUACUAGAGUAUCGUAGGGGGAGGUAGAAUUCUAGGUGUAGCGGUGAAAUGCGUAGAUAUCUGGAGGAAUACCUGUGGCGAAAGCGGCCUCCUAAACGAAUACUGACACUGAGGGUGCGAAAGCGUGGGGAGCAAACAGGGAUUAGAUACC
RNAcentral lists this ribosomal RNA (455 nucleotides) under uncultured bacterium. Its description in RNAcentral is "bacterial SSU rRNA". It matches the Rfam family "Bacterial small subunit ribosomal RNA", at positions 340 to 786 of the family's 1533-position model. The record is from RNAcentral.